UGAACAACCUCCUGCUGAUCAUUUUCACCAGAAAUUUGAAACCAUUCAUCAAAGGUUUCAGCUGAGCUAAAAAUUUCUGGCAGUAAAAAGUUCAGAAGAGACCAGAGUUCAUGAAGAUUGUUCUGAAGAGGAGUACCAGUAAUGAGGAGACGGUAAUUGGUAUUAUAAAGUCUCAUUGUUUUUGAAAGAAGAGAAUUUUCAUUCUUAAUUCGAUGGGCCUCAUCUAUGAUUAUGUAGCGCCAGCUAAAGCGACGCAAGGCUGACUUCUCUUUGAUGGCCAUUUCAAAACUUGUAACACACACAUCAAA
RNAcentral lists this unclassified non-coding RNA (308 nucleotides) under Hevea brasiliensis (rubber tree). Lineage: Eukaryota; Viridiplantae; Streptophyta; Magnoliopsida; Malpighiales; Euphorbiaceae. The record is from RNAcentral.